GACGAACGCUGGCGGCGUGCUUAACACAUGCAAGUCGAACGGAAAGGCCCUGCUUUUGUGGGGUGCUCGAGUGGCGAACGGGUGUGUAACACGUGAGUAACCUGCCCAUGACUUUGGGAUAACUUCAGGAAACUGGGGCUAAUACCGGAUAGGAGCUCCUGCUGCAUGGUGGGGGUUGGAAAGUUUCGGCGGUUGGGGACGGACUCGCGGCUUAUCAGCUUGUUGGUGGGGUAGUGGCUUACCGAGGCUUUGACGGGUAGCCGGCCUGAGCGGGUGGCCGGCGACAAUGGGACUACGGGAGGGCGCAGAGUGCAACGGGGGGCAACGGUGGCGAAUAUUACACAGUGGUGGCAAGCGUGAUGCAACAGCGUCGCGUGCGUGAUGACGGCCUUCGGGUUGAAAACCGCUUUCGCCUGUGACGAAGCGUGAAUGACGGUAAUGGAUAAAGAAGCACCGGCUAACUACGUG
RNAcentral lists this ribosomal RNA (468 nucleotides) under uncultured bacterium. RNAcentral describes it as "partial 16S ribosomal RNA". It matches the Rfam family "Bacterial small subunit ribosomal RNA", at positions 28 to 507 of the family's 1533-position model. The record is from RNAcentral.